RNAcentral lists this ribosomal RNA (434 nucleotides) under uncultured bacterium. RNAcentral's name for it is "partial 16S ribosomal RNA". It matches the Rfam family "Bacterial small subunit ribosomal RNA", at positions 29 to 507 of the family's 1533-position model. The record is from RNAcentral.
AGCGAACGCUGGCGGCAGGCCUAACACAUGCAAGUCGAACGAACCUUUCGGGGUUAGUGGCGGACGGGUGAGUAACACGUGGGAACGUACCUUUAGGUUCGGAAUAACUCAGGGAAACUUGUGCUAAUACCGAAUGUGCCCUUCGGGGGAAAGAUUAAUCGCCUUUAGAGCGGCCCGCGUCUGAUUAGCUAGUUGGUUGAGGUAAUGGCUCACCAAGGCGACGAUCAGUAGCUGGUCUGAGAGGAUGAUCAGCCACAUUGGGACUGAGACACGGCCCAAACUCCUACGGGAGGCAGCAGUGGGGAAUCUUGCGCAAUGGGCGAAAGCCUGACGCAGCCAUGCCGCGUGAAUGAUGAAGGUCUUAGGAUUGUAAAAUUCUUUCACCGGGGACGAUAAUGACGGUACCCGGAGAAGAAGCCCCGGCUAACUUCGUG